This 170-nucleotide long non-coding RNA is filed under the name Cavia porcellus (domestic guinea pig). Its description in RNAcentral is "lncRNA (ENSCPOG00000035438.1)". Lineage: Eukaryota; Metazoa; Chordata; Mammalia; Rodentia; Caviidae. The record is from RNAcentral.
GUGAGGCACGCAGGACUAAGUCACAGCAACUGAUUUAAAAGGAAAGGCUUCUGUUUGGAUGUGAACUUUGAAGACAUCUGUCACAGCUUAACCCAAAUCAGAAGUCUCGGGCAGUAAUGGGCCUGACUGGAUCCGUUUCUACUCUCUUGCCCGGUGGUAGGACCUGAAGG